Molecule: ribosomal RNA, 254 nt
Filed under: uncultured bacterium
Lineage: Bacteria
Description: partial 16S ribosomal RNA
Rfam family: Bacterial small subunit ribosomal RNA
Source: RNAcentral
CACGUAGGGGGCAAGCUUUGUCCGGAUUUAUUGGGCGUAAAGAGCUCGUAGGUGGUUCGGUAAGUCGGGUGUUAAACCCCCAGGCUCAACCUGGGGACGCCACUCGAUACUGCUGUGACUAGAGUCCGGUAGGGGAGCGUGGAAUUCCUGGUGUAGCGGUGAAAUGCGCAGAUAUCAGGAGGAACACCAGCGGCGAAGGCGGCGCUCUGGGCCGGUACUGACACUGAGGAGCGAAAGCGUGGGUAGCAAACAGG